RNAcentral lists this ribosomal RNA (801 nucleotides) under uncultured bacterium. RNAcentral's name for it is "bacterial SSU rRNA". It matches the Rfam family "Bacterial small subunit ribosomal RNA", at positions 68 to 866 of the family's 1533-position model. The record is from RNAcentral.
GGUAACAGAGGAGCUUGCUCUUGCUGACGAGUGGCGAACGGGUGCGUAACGCGUAUACAACUUGCCUAUAACUGGGAGAUAGCCCAUGGAAACGUGGAUUAAUACCCCAUAACACUACAGAUUCGCAUGUUUUUGUAGUUAAAGCUUUUUGCGGUUAUAGAUGGGUAUGCGUGACAUUAGCUAGUUGGUGAGGUAAUGGCUUACCAAGGCUACGAUGUCUAGGGGGCCUGAGAGGGUGAUCCCCCACACUGGUACUGAGACACGGACCAGACUCCUACGGGAGGCAGCAGUGAGGAAUAUUGCACAAUGGAGGAAACUCUGAUGCAGCCAUGCCGCGUGCAGGAUGACUGCCCUAUGGGUUGUAAACUGCUUUUAUAUAGGAAGAAACCUCUCUACGUGUAGAGAGCUGACGGUACUAUAAGAAUAAGGACCGGCUAACUCCGUGCCAGCAGCCGCGGUAAUACGGAGGGUCCAAGCGUUAUCCGGAUUUAUUGGGUUUAAAGGGUGCGUAGGCGGAAAUUUAAGUCAGUGGUGAAAUCCUACAGCUCAACUGUAGAACUGCCAUUGAAACUGGAUUUCUUGAAUAUAGUUGAAGUAGGCGGAAUAUGUAGUGUAGCGGUGAAAUGCUUAGAUAUUACAUAGAACACCGAUUGCGAAGGCAGCUUGCUAAACUAUUAUUGACGCUGAGGCACGAAAGCAUGGGGAGCGAACAGGAUUAGAUACCCUGGUAGUCCGUGCCGUAAACGAUGAUUACUCGAUAUUGGCGAUAUACUGUCAGUGUCCAAGCGAAAGUGUUAAGUA